Molecule: transfer RNA, 88 nt
Filed under: Paludifilum halophilum
Lineage: Bacteria; Bacillati; Bacillota; Bacilli; Caryophanales; Thermoactinomycetaceae
Description: tRNA-Leu
Rfam family: tRNA
About the family: Transfer RNA (tRNA) molecules are approximately 80 nucleotides in length. Their secondary structure includes four short double-helical elements and three loops (D, anti-codon, and T loops).
Source: RNAcentral
GCGGACGUGGCGGAAUCGGCAGACGCGCUAGAUUCAGGAUCUAGUGGUCAUUGUGACCGUGGAGGUUCAAGUCCUCUCGUCCGCACCA